This 486-nucleotide ribosomal RNA is filed under the name uncultured bacterium. Its description in RNAcentral is "partial 16S ribosomal RNA". It matches the Rfam family "Bacterial small subunit ribosomal RNA", at positions 30 to 507 of the family's 1533-position model. The record is from RNAcentral.
AUUGAACGCUGGCGGCAUGCCUUACACAUGCAAGUCGAACGGCAGCACGGGUGCUUGCCCCUGGUGGCGAGUGGCGAACGGGUGAGUAAUACAUCGGAACAUGUCCUGUAGUGGGGGAUAGCCCGGCGAAAGCCGGAUUAAUACCGCAUACGAUCUACGGAUGAAAGCGGGGGCCCUUCGGGCCUCGCGCUAUAGGGUUGGCCGAUGGCUGAUUAGCUAGUUGGUGGGGUAAAGGCCUACCAAGGCGACGAUCAGUAGCUGGUCUGAGAGGACGACCAGCCACACUGGAACUGAGACACGGCCCAGACUCCUACGGGAGGCAGCAGUGGGGAAUUUUGGACAAUGGGCGAAAGCCUGAUCCAGCAAUGCCGCGUGUGUGAAGAAGGCCUUCGGGUUGUAAAGCACUUUUGUCCGGAAAGAAAUCCUUGGCUCUAAUACAGUCGGGGGAUGACGGUACCGGAAGAAUAAGCACCGGCUAACUACGUG